This 2058-nucleotide small RNA is filed under the name Pongo abelii (Sumatran orangutan). RNAcentral describes it as "retained intron". The record is from RNAcentral. Lineage: Eukaryota; Metazoa; Chordata; Mammalia; Primates; Hominidae.
CGGAAUGUUGUCCUAGGAAUGUUGUUCUAGGAAGGGCUCAAGUGCAGGUGGGAGGCCGGAGUGCGUGCAGCUGCACUCAGGAGACUCGCCCCUCACCGGGCGCUUCUCACAGCCCCUUCCUCUCCUGAGAUCCUGCCCAUGGCACUGUAGUCUGGAGGCUGGGCUGGUGACCUCUCGCACUCUUGCUCUGCCUAGGAUGGGGCGGUCCUGCCUCAGUGGCUCUGCUCCAACUGUCAGGCGCCCUACGACUCCUCUGCCAUCGAGAUGACGCUGGUGGAAGUUCUGCAGAAGAAGCUGAUGGCCUUCACCCUGCAGGACCUGGUGAGUAGUGUGUGCCGCCCAUCCUUGUGCCCUGGAGUCCGCAGAGGGGUUUCUGUGCACUCCCGGGAGCCGGGGUGUGUGCAGGUCCUGAGGCAUGCCCUGGUGUCCUCCAAGGGGCCUGCCCUGCAGACCAGUCCAUGCCCUGAGCCUAGUGGACUGUUCUAUCCACGCUGGUUGAGCACCUGCCUUGGGUCAAGAGCUGGCCUUGUGGGUGCUUUGUUCUGGGGGAAGGAGGCAGACACUCCCAAGUGUGAAGAGAAGGAAAGGAGGAAGAGGGGGUUGCACAGCUCGGCCACAGGAAGGUCUUGCCGAGGGGCAUCUGAGCAGAGGCUGGGGGACGCGCCAAGCUGCCGUGUGGUGGUGCACGGCGUCCAGGCCUGCAGGAUGGAGGGAGUGAGCAGGGCCUGGAGGAGGCCUCAGGACUGGGCGUCUGGGGUGGGAUGAGGUCGUGCAUUUUACUCAUAACCGAGGGCUGGCUGCGCACAGCGGGGGCUCAAGGCUUACUGAUGGGCCCACGAAUGUGUCUCGCGAGCCUGUGAAGAAGCAGCAGGCAGGUCUGGCCGGCGCCCAUCGGGGCUGCUCCCUUUCAGGUCUGCCUGAAGUGCCGCGGGGUGAAGGAGACCAGCAUGCCUGUGUACUGCAGCUGCGCGGGGGACUUCGCCCUCACCAUCCACACCCAGGUCUUCAUGGAACAGAUCGGAAUCUUCCGGAACAUUGCCCAGCACUACAGCAUGUCGUACCUCCUGGAGACCCUGGAGUGGCUUCUGCAGAAGAACCCACAGCUGGGCCGUUAGCCAGCCCUGGGCCCCGGGUGCCUCUGCGUCUGUACCAGGCCUGAUGCCAAGGCCACAUCCCCGUGCUUCCAGUGACCAGACCACUGACCACUCUGACUGUCCAAACUUGUGACCCCAGGCCAGGGAUCAGGGAGGAAACCAAAGAAAACCAUUUUCAGGGAGCUCAGACGUCACAGGAGGGAGCGGGAGCAGGAUGUGGCCCUGGUCUCGCCAGAGCACCUGAAGAAGCAGGCCAUGAGCGAGGCUGCGAGUGCCCUGGGUGCCGUUUCUCACGCAGUGAAUGCUUUUCCAGGCCUCUGUUGCUUCCUGCACCACACCUGGUGGGGUGGGAGAGUCCUCUAGGUGCCCCCAGUUCUUUGUCCUGCCUCCCAGAGAGAGGAAAAGCCCCUGGGGGCUUCUGGCUCCCUGAGAUUGGGCUCUCCCUGAGACGAGACGGGUUUCCAAGGCCCUGGUGGGGCUGGAGUCUCACCUGUUUGCAUGGAGAAAUGGGCUGGCCCCACAGCCUCACAGGAGCAGUUUGUGGGCCGGUUUCUUGAGGAAUCCAGACCCUAACCCGUGAGAAUCUGGAUUUUGGCUUGUGAGCCCUGCUCAUUUGGAGCCGGGUCUAGAGGGAACCCUCUAUCAGCGUCAGGAAAACAAGACCUGUGUGCACCUCACUUUUGGCUCACUGCAGCCCUUGUCCUUCACGUCCACACAGGACCAGCUGGAAGCAGAAAGAAGAAAGGCCAAUUUCACAGGGCACCAAACGAGUAUGAAAUGUAAAUCACAAAUGCAGACACCCCAGAUAAAGCCUCACAGGAGGGAGGGGCCCCACAGGCUCCCCAGGAGGCUCGUGUCUUUGGCCCAGAGCCAGCCUUAGUUUCUCCCUGCCAUCUACUGUCUGAGGCCAUCGCUGCUACACUUUGUUUUUGUUUGUAUUUCAUACUGAAGUUUCUCUAGGUUG